UACAGAGGUCUCAAGCGUUGUUCGGAUUCAUUGGGCGUAAAGGGUGCGUAGGCGGCGCGGUAAGUCGGAUGUGAAAUCUCGGGGCGUAACUCCGAAACUGCAUUCGAUACUGCCGUGCUUGAGGACUGGAGAGGAGACUGGAAUUUACGGUGUAGCGGUGAAAUGCGUAGAUAUCGUAAGGAAGACCAGUGGCGAAGGCGGGUCUCUGGACAGUUCCUGACGCUGAGGCACGAAGGCCAGGGGAGCAAACGGG
Molecule: ribosomal RNA, 253 nt
Filed under: uncultured bacterium
Lineage: Bacteria
Description: partial 16S ribosomal RNA
Rfam family: Bacterial small subunit ribosomal RNA
Source: RNAcentral